CCCUGCUCAAUGGUAUACUAAAUAGCCGCAGUACUUUGACUGUGCAAAGGUAGCAUAAUCAUUUGGCUUAUAAUUGAAGUCUGGUAUGAAUGGGUAACUGGAUAAAAACUAUCUUUCCACAAUAAAUUGAAUUUACUUAGUAAGUGAAAAUUCUUACUAAAAAAAAAUAGACGAGAAGACCCUAGAAAUUUUUUAAAUAUAUAUUAAGAUAUUUUAUUUUGUUGGGGCGACAGGGUAGCAAUAUAACCUACCUAUAAUUGAUAUAAAAUUAUUUAAAGAUAUAAAUAAAUUACUCUAGGGAUAACAGCAUAAUACAUAAGAGUUUGUGACCUCGAUGUUGGACUAGGUAAAUUAAUGUCUAGAAGAUAUUAAUUUAGGCUCUGUUCGAGCUAUAAUACCUACGUGAUCUGAGUUCAGACCGGA
This 423-nucleotide ribosomal RNA is filed under the name Leptaxis simia. Its description in RNAcentral is "partial 16S ribosomal RNA". It matches the Rfam family "Archaeal large subunit ribosomal RNA", at positions 1949 to 2689 of the family's 2987-position model. The record is from RNAcentral. Lineage: Eukaryota; Metazoa; Mollusca; Gastropoda; Stylommatophora; Hygromiidae.